Molecule: ribosomal RNA, 421 nt
Filed under: uncultured bacterium
Lineage: Bacteria
Description: partial 16S ribosomal RNA
Rfam family: Bacterial small subunit ribosomal RNA
Source: RNAcentral
AAUAUUGGACAAGGGGGGCAACCCUGACCCAGCCACGCCGCGUGCGUGAAGAAGGUUUUCGGCUUUUAAAGCACUUUAAGUUGGGAGGAAGCGCCUUAGGCUAAUACCCUGAAGUUUCUACGUUACCGACAGAAUCGGCCUCGUCUAACUUCGUGCCAGCAGCCGCGGUAAUACGAAGGGUGCAAGCGUUAAUCGGAAUUACUGGGCGUAAAGCGGUCGUAGGUGGUUUGUUAAGUUGGAAGUGAAAGCCCCGGGCUCAACCUGGGAACUGCUUUCAAAACUGGCAAGCUAGAGUAUGGCAGAGGGUAGUGGAAUUUCCUGUGUAGCGGUGAAAUGCGUAGAUAUAGGAAGGAACACCAGUGGCGAAGGCGACUACCUGGACUGAUACUGACACUGAGGUGCGAAAGCGUGGGGAGCAAAC